RNAcentral lists this unclassified non-coding RNA (416 nucleotides) under soil metagenome. Its description in RNAcentral is "partial contains 5.8S ribosomal RNA, internal transcribed spacer 2, and large subunit ribosomal RNA". The stretch from base 1 to 120 matches the Rfam family "5.8S ribosomal RNA", at positions 35 to 154 of the family's 154-position model. The record is from RNAcentral.
GAUGAAGAACGUAGCGAAAUGCGAUAAGUAAUGUGAAUUGCAGAAUUCAGUGAAUCAUCGAAUCCUUGAACGCACCUUGCACUCCUUGGUAUUCCGAGGAGUACGCCUGUUCGAGUGUUAUGAAGCUCUCAAAACGCAAUUGGCUUAAAACCUGAUUGUUGUUUUGGAUUUGAACUUUGCCGUGUUAUAACGGCUGGUUUUAAAAGUAUUAGCUGGUACUAGAACGAAUUGGUUCUACUCAACGUGAUAAUUAUCUGAUCGUUGAGGACAUUCCUUUCACGAGGAAUGGCCAUAGUAAAUUCAAUGGACUGCUUCUAAUCUGGCUUUAAUUCUUUAUUGGAUUAACCACUUUUCAAAUCUGACCUCGAAUCAGGUGGGACUACCCGCUGAACUUAAGCAUAUCAAUAAGCGGAGGA